CCUACGGGUGGCUGCAGUGGGGGAUAUUGGACAAUGGAGGAAACUCUGACCCAGCGAUGCCGCGUGGAUGAAGAAGGGCUUCGGAUUGUAAAGUUCUGUAAGCAGGGAAGAAUAAAAUGACGGUAGCUGAAGAAUAAGCUCCGGCUAACUACGUGCCAGCAGCCGCGGUAAUACGUAGGGAGCAAGCGUUGUUCGGGAUGACUGGGCGUAAAGGGUGCGUAGGCGGUUAUACAAGUUAGAAGUGAAAUACCCAGGGCUUAACUCGGGUGCUGCUUCUAAAACUGUAAGACUUGAGUGCAGGAGAGGUUAGUGGAAUUCCUAGUGUAGCGGUGGAAUGCGUAGAUAUUAGGAGGAACACCAGAGGCGAAGGCGGCUAACUGGACUGCAACUGACGCUGAGGCACGAAAGUGUGGGGAGCAAACAGGAUUAGAUACUCGAGUAGUC
RNAcentral lists this ribosomal RNA (444 nucleotides) under uncultured bacterium. RNAcentral's name for it is "partial 16S ribosomal RNA". It matches the Rfam family "Bacterial small subunit ribosomal RNA", at positions 338 to 795 of the family's 1533-position model. The record is from RNAcentral.